This 287-nucleotide long non-coding RNA is filed under the name Eucalyptus grandis. RNAcentral describes it as "long non-coding RNA (EGRA_LNC000216)". Lineage: Eukaryota; Viridiplantae; Streptophyta; Magnoliopsida; Myrtales; Myrtaceae. The record is from RNAcentral.
AUCAAGCACCCCCCAGACAUCAUCCAAUACUACUAGUGUACUCUUACUCUCCAGCAGUCUUGCACGUAGCCGACCUGCUCUUCCAAUUUCUCCUCUCCUAUCCAGGUCAAGACCUAGCAUACCUGCCAUCUCAUCUCGUAUCUUUGUAAAGUUCAGGUUCUAGGACACAACUGCCAUCACCACUUCAUCGAAAAGGUUCUCUUUCUCCACUGUCUUGAUCACUUCCUUCAUCAUGGUUGUUUUACCAACACCACCCAUCCCGUAAACUCCAACUAUACUAAUUUCUU